This 234-nucleotide ribosomal RNA is filed under the name uncultured bacterium. Its description in RNAcentral is "partial 16S ribosomal RNA". It matches the Rfam family "Bacterial small subunit ribosomal RNA", at positions 118 to 347 of the family's 1533-position model. The record is from RNAcentral.
UGGGCAACCUGCCCCUCUCUCUGGGAUAACCCCCGGGAAACCGGAGCUAAUACCGGAUACUCCGGCUGGAUCGCAUGGUCCGGCCGGGAAAGGUCCGCCGGAGAGGGAUGGGCCCGCGGCCUAUCAGCUUGUUGGUGGGGUCAUGGCUCACCAAGGCGACGACGGGUAGCUGGUCUGAGAGGACGACCAGCCACACUGGAACUGAGAUACGGUCCAGACCUCCGUACGGGAGCA